This 468-nucleotide ribosomal RNA is filed under the name uncultured bacterium. RNAcentral describes it as "partial 16S ribosomal RNA". It matches the Rfam family "Bacterial small subunit ribosomal RNA", at positions 28 to 507 of the family's 1533-position model. The record is from RNAcentral.
GAUGAACGCUGGCGGCGUGCUUAACACAUGCAAGUCGAACGGAAAGGCCCUGCUUUUGUGGGGUGCACGAGUGGCGAACGGGUGAGUAACACGCGUGUAAACUGCCCUUGAAUUUGGGAUAACUUCAGGAAACUGGGGCUCAUACCGGAUAUGAGCUCCUGCUGCAUGGUGGGGGUUGGAAAGUUUCGGCGGUUGGGGAUGGAAUCGCGGCUUAUCAGCUUGUUGGUGGGGUAGUGGCUUACCAAGGCUUUGACGGGUAGCCGGCCUGAGAGGGUGACCGGCCACAUUGGGACGGAGAUACGGACCAGACUGCUACGUGAGGCAGCAGUGGGGAAUAUUGCACAAUGAACGGAAGCCAGAUGCAGCAACGCCGCGUGCGGGAUGACGGCCUUCGAGUUGUAAACCACUUUCGCCUUUGACGAAACGUGAGUGACGGUAAUGGGUAAAAAAGCACCGGCUAACUACGUG